GAAUCAAAAUAGUGCUCGUACUAAAAUUGGAACGAUACAGAGAAGAUUAGCAUGGCCCCUCCACAAGGAUGACACGCAAAUACGUGAAGCUUUCCAUGUUAAA
Small nuclear RNA from Rattus norvegicus (Norway rat), 103 nucleotides. The record is from Ensembl. Lineage: Eukaryota; Metazoa; Chordata; Mammalia; Rodentia; Muridae.